This 79-nucleotide small RNA is filed under the name Flavobacterium glycines. Its description in RNAcentral is "Flavo-1 RNA". It matches the Rfam family "Flavo-1 RNA". The record is from RNAcentral. Lineage: Bacteria; Pseudomonadati; Bacteroidota; Flavobacteriia; Flavobacteriales; Flavobacteriaceae.
GGAUUGCGUGAGGGAUGGAAGUGGCAUCCUUUUAUGGAGCGCAGCAGAAUAAAAGAUAUAACGGACAGCCCGACCUUUU